AGCCGUGCCGCGUCUUCGCUUUCGCAUUCUGUUUUGUACGAAGGUUUUCUUCCCUAUCUACUCACCAAGGCAGCAGCGGUGUACCUCGCGACAUCCGGUGCACUGGUGCGUCGGUGUUGAAGUGUAUGUGCAGCUCUCUCACGAAGCAACCUUGCUGACUGCGAUUCUCACAACUGGCAGUCCCCUCUCCCCCUUCACAUACACACACGAGCGAACACAGCCACUCACACCUGCUCCGCCUCAACAUGGCGUUGAUUCAGACCGCCCAUGACGCAUGCUCCCGCAAGGUGCACUGUGUCCGCAAAGGCUAUCUGAAUGACCCGUUUGUGUCCUUCUUCGAAAAGGACCACACCAUUGUGAAUAGUCCGCUGAUGAACCGUGGAACCUGGCUGCGGACAACGGCGUUUGAAAACUGCGUGCGGGGCUUCGCGACCGCCGCCGGACAACCGAUCCAGGUAAUCAACUUUGGCGCAGGAAUGGACACGCUCUACUUCCGCCUAAAGCACAGCGACCCGCAGUUUCCGGUGCAGAAGUUUGUGGAACUCGACUUGGCUGAUCUGGUCGCUGAGAAGGAGCGCAUCAUCAAGCGCCACGGCGAGAUGCAAUCGAUGGUGGGCUCACAGUACGUGCUGGUCUCCUGCGACCUGUAUGACGCCAGGGGUGUUGCGAAGGCGCUGAAGGAGCACCUGCACGGCGGCACCCCUACUAUCAUGAUCGCGGAGAUGGUGUUCGUGUACAUUGAGGGCUCCGUCACCACUAAUCUAUUGCGAACUGUGAUGAGCGACGUUGUCGAGCCUGGCACAAAGACUAUGCUUGUCACCUACGACGCGAUUCAGCCAUUUGAUCGCUUCGGCAAGGUCAUGGUGGAGAAUCUACAGCACUUCGGUGCCGAUUUCAAAGGAAUCGGCGACUUUCCCACGCCUGAGGCACACGCGCAGCGGUGCAGCGAGCUUGGUUUCAAAGCAGUCAAGUCCGUCACUAUGAAGAACCUCUACCUUGGCGUGCCACGUCAGAUUCAAAUUCGCCUCAACAAGCUGGAAAUGAUCGACGACUGGGAGGAGUGGAACUUGAUGCACGAGCACUACUGCUUCGUCGUGGCGUGCACCGAAGACACCCCGCUACCAAAGCUUUUUUGAAUCGGCUUCUUUUCUUUAUCGAGCAACGAGCCGCUGCGAACACUGUGGUUAGCCUUUUUUUUUACUACGUCGUGCAUUGGCGAAGGCGAGUGGCGGUGGUGGCAGCUAGAGGGAUGGAAAGGGAGCUGCCCCCCUCUGCCGCUGCCCCGCAGCCUCUCUGAAGGAUGCUCCUUACCUUAAGCGCGCACGUAACUUACACGACUGUUUCUUCCACUUGCGUGGGCUGCGGAACCUUCACUCUUUUUCGUCUGCCGUGACGCUUGUUUUCUUGCUUCUCUCGACGACUGUCUGUGGAGGCGGGCGUCGCAUGUGAGAGAGUCUGACUUACUGUGCCCAUGUUCGGGUGUUUCUGAUGACCACUCAGGCACCUCCAUGCACGUAUAGGGAGCCCCAUUCACUGUUUCUCCCCCUCUGUUUGCUAG
RNAcentral lists this unclassified non-coding RNA (1558 nucleotides) under Leishmania donovani. RNAcentral's name for it is "gene:LdHU3.36.0150(CDS-product:leucine_carboxyl_m ethyltransferase_putative)". The record is from RNAcentral. Lineage: Eukaryota; Euglenozoa; Kinetoplastea; Trypanosomatida; Trypanosomatidae.